ACGGAGGGUGCAAGCGUUAUCCGGAUUUAUUGGGUUUAAAGGGUGCGUAGGCGGGAUGUUAAGUCAGUGGUGAAAUCUUCCAGCUCAACUGGGAAACUGCCAUUGAAACUGACGUCCUUGAAUUUAGUUGAAGUAGGCGGAAUGAGGCAUGUAGCGGUGAAAUGCAUAGAUAUGCCUCAGAACACCGAUCGCGAAGGCAGCUUACUAAACUAACAUUGACGCUGAGGCACGAAAGCGUGGGGAGCAAACAGG
Molecule: ribosomal RNA, 252 nt
Filed under: uncultured bacterium
Lineage: Bacteria
Description: partial 16S ribosomal RNA
Rfam family: Bacterial small subunit ribosomal RNA
Source: RNAcentral